GUGUCAGCAGCCGCGGUAAGACGGAGGAUGCAAGCGUUAUCCGGAAUUAUUGGGCGUAAAGCGUCCGCAGGUGGCUGUUCAAGUCUGCUGUCAAAGCGCAGAGCUUAACUCUGUACAGGCGGUGGAAACUGAAGAGCUAGAGUAUGGUAGGGGUAGAGGGAAUUCCCGGUGUAGCGGUGAAAUGCGUAGAUAUCGGGAAGAACACCAGUGGCGAAAGCGCUCUACUGGGCCAUAACUGACACUGAGGGACGAAAGCUAGGGGAGCGAAAGGGAUUAGAUACCCCUGUAGUCC
RNAcentral lists this ribosomal RNA (292 nucleotides) under uncultured bacterium. RNAcentral's name for it is "partial 16S ribosomal RNA". It matches the Rfam family "Bacterial small subunit ribosomal RNA", at positions 505 to 796 of the family's 1533-position model. The record is from RNAcentral.